RNAcentral lists this ribosomal RNA (269 nucleotides) under uncultured prokaryote. Its description in RNAcentral is "partial 16S ribosomal RNA". It matches the Rfam family "Bacterial small subunit ribosomal RNA", at positions 524 to 792 of the family's 1533-position model. The record is from RNAcentral.
UACGGAGGGUGCGAGCAUUAAUCGGAAUUAUUGGGCGUAAAGGGCGCGUAGGUGGCUUGGUAAGUCCCCUGUGAAAUUUCGCAGCUUAACUGCGAAGCUGCAGGGGAAACUGUCUAGCUUGAGGAUAGAUGGGGAAAGUGGAAUUCCACAUGUAGCGGUGAAAUGCGUAGAUAUGUGGAGGAAGACCGGUGGCGAAGGCGACUUUCUAAUCUAUACCUGACACUGAGGCGCGAAAGCAAGGGGAGCAAACAGGAUUAGAUACCCGCGUA